Molecule: ribosomal RNA, 2924 nt
Filed under: Lactiplantibacillus pentosus
Lineage: Bacteria; Bacillati; Bacillota; Bacilli; Lactobacillales; Lactobacillaceae
Description: bacterial LSU rRNA
Rfam family: Bacterial large subunit ribosomal RNA
Source: RNAcentral
AGGUUAAGUUAACAAGGGCGCAUGGUGAAUGCCUUGGCACUAGGAGCCGAUGAAGGACGGGACUAACACCGAUAUGCUUCGGGGAGCUGUACGUAAGCUAUGAUCCGGAGAUUUCCGAAUGGGGCAACCCAGCAGUUUUAAUCAACUGUUACCACUAGAUGAAUUCAUAGUCUAGUUGGAGGUAAACGCUGUGAACUGAAACAUCUCAUUAGCAGCAGGAAUAUAAAGAAAUUUCGAUUCCCUAAGUAGCGGCGAGCGAACGGGGAACAGCCCAAACCAAAGUGCUUGCACUUUGGGGUUGUAGGACUGAACAUUUGAGUUACCAAAGAACUUGAUAGUCGAAGGAUUUGGGAAAAUCCGCCAUAGAUGGUGAUAGCCCAGUAGAUUAAAUCAAAUUCUCUCAGUUCAGGAUCCUGAGUACGGCGGAACACGUGAAAUUCCGUCGGAAUCCGGGAGGACCAUCUCCCAAGGCUAAAUACUACCUAGUGACCGAUAGUGAACCAGUACCGUGAGGGAAAGGUGAAAAGCACCCCGGGAGGGGAGUGAAAUAGUUCCUGAAACCAUGUGCCUACAAUAAGUCAGAGCGCGUUAAUGCGUGAUGGCGUGCCUUUUGUAGAAUGAACCGGCGAGUUAUGAUCCCGUGCAAGGUUAAGACUAAAAAGUCGGAGCCGUAGCGAAAGCGAGUCUGAAAUGGGCGAUUUGAGUACGAGGUUAUAGACCCGAAACCAGGUGACCUAUCCAUGUCCAGGUUGAAGGUGCGGUAAAACGCACUGGAGGACCGAACCCGUGUAAGUUGAAAAUUGCUGGGAUGAGGUGUGGAUAGCGGUGAAAUUCCAAACGAACUUGGAGAUAGCUGGUUCUCUCCGAAAUAGCUUUAGGGCUAGCCUCGGAUUAAGGAUCAUGGAGGUAGAGCACUAUUUGGACUAGGGGCCCGUCUUGGGUUACUGAAUUCAGAUAAACUCCGAAUGCCAUUGAUUCAUGUCCGGGAGUCAGACGAUGAGUGAUAAGAUCCACCGUCGAAAGGGGAACAGCCCAGACCAUCAGUUAAGGUCCCUAAAUGUAUGCUAAGUGGAAAAGGAUGUGGAGUUGCAUAGACAACUAGGAUGUUGGCUCAGAAGCAGCCACCAUUUAAAGAGUGCGUAAUAGCUCACUAGUCGAGUGAUCCUGCGCCGAAAAUGUACCGGGGCUAAGCAUACUACCGAAACCAUGGAUGCGACCAUUAGGUCGCGUGAUAGGAGAGCGUUCUAAGGGCGGUGAAGCAAGAUCGUGAGGACUUGUGGAGCGCUUAGAAGUGAGAAUGCCGGUAUGAGUAGCGAAAGAUAGGUGAGAAUCCUAUCCACCGAAUGACUAAGGUUUCCUGGGGAAGGCUCGUCCUCCCAGGGUUAGUCGGGACCUAAGUCGAGGCCGAGAGGCGUAGACGAUGGAUAACAGGUUGAGAUUCCUGUACUAGUUAAGUGCGUUUGAGCAAUGGAGGGACGCAGGAGGCUAAGAUGUGCAUUCUGUUGGAUUAGAAUGUCCAAGCAGUAAGUCUUGUGGAGAGUCAAAUGCUUUUCACUUUAAGGACAAGCUGUGAUGGGGAGCGAAAUUUAGUAGCGAAGCGUCUGAUGUCACACUGCCGAGAAAAGCUUCUAGUGAGUACUUAACUACCCGUACCGCAAACCGACACAGGUAGUCGAGGAGAGAAUCCUAAGGUGAGCGAGUGAACUCUCGUUAAGGAACUCGGCAAAAUGACCCCGUAACUUCGGGAGAAGGGGUGCUGAUCGCAAGAUCAGCCGCAGUGAAUAGGCCCAGGCGACUGUUUAUCAAAAACACAGGUCUCUGCAAAAUCGUAAGAUGACGUAUAGGGGCUGACGCCUGCCCGGUGCUGGAAGGUUAAAAGGAUGGGUUAGCUUCGGCGAAGCUCAGAAUUGAAGCCCCAGUAAACGGCGGCCGUAACUAUAACGGUCCUAAGGUAGCGAAAUUCCUUGUCGGGUAAGUUCCGACCCGCACGAAAGGCCGUAACGAUCUGGGCACUGUCUCAACGAGAGACUCGGUGAAAUUAUAUUGUCCGUGAAGAUGCGGACUACCCGCGACAGGACGGAAAGACCCCAUGGAGCUUUACUGUAGCUUGAUAUUGAGUGUUUGUACAGCUUGUACAGGAUAGGUAGGAGCCAUAGAAACCGGAACGCUAGUUUCGGUGGAGGCGUUGGUGGGAUACUACCCUCGCUGUAUGACCACUCUAACCCGCACCACUAAUCGUGGUGGGAGACAGUGUCAGGUGGGCAGUUUGACUGGGGCGGUCGCCUCCUAAAAAGUAACGGAGGCGCCCAAAGGUUCCCUCAGAAUGGUUGGAAAUCAUUCGCAGAGUGUAAAGGCACAAGGGAGCUUGACUGCGAGACAGACAGGUCGAGCAGGGACGAAAGUCGGGCUUAGUGAUCCGGUGGUACCGUAUGGAAGGGCCAUCGCUCAACGGAUAAAAGCUACCCUGGGGAUAACAGGCUUAUCUCCCCCAAGAGUCCACAUCGACGGGGAGGUUUGGCACCUCGAUGUCGGCUCAUCGCAUCCUGGGGCUGUAGUCGGUCCCAAGGGUUGGGCUGUUCGCCCAUUAAAGCGGUACGCGAGCUGGGUUCAGAACGUCGUGAGACAGUUCGGUCCCUAUCCGUCGCGGGCGUAGGAAAUUUGAGAGGACCUGUCCUUAGUACGAGAGGACCGGGAUGGACAUACCUCUGGUGUACCAGUUGUGCCGCCAGGCGCAUCGCUGGGUAGCUACGUAUGGAUGUGAUAAACGCUGAAAGCAUCUAAGUGUGAAACACACCUCGAGAUGAGAUUUCCCAUUCCUUUAUGGAAGUAAGACCCCUGAAAGAUGAUCAGGUAGAUAGGUUAGAAGUGGCAGUGCGGUGACGCAUGAAGCGGACUAAUACUAAUCGGUCGAGGACUUAACCAAG